AGUCGAACGCGAAAGUCCCCUUCGGGGGGCGAGUAGAGUGGCGCACGGGUGAGUAACACGUAGGUAAUCUACCUUUGGAUUGGGAAUAACCACCGGAAACGGUGGCUAAUACCGAAUAAUGCAGCGGCACCUAAUGGUGACAGUUGUUAAAGCGGGGGAUCGAAAGACCUCGCGUCUGAAGAGGAGCCUGCGGCAGAUUAGCUAGUUGGUAAGGUAACGGCUUACCAAGGCGAUGAUCUGUAGCCGGCCUGAGAGGGCGGUCGGCCACACUGACACUGACAUACGGGUCAGACUCCUACGGGAGGCAGCAGUCGGGAAUUUUGGGCAAUGGGCGAAAGCCUGACCCAGCAACGCCGCGUGAAGGAUGAAAUCCCUCGGGAUGUAAACUUCGCAAGAACGGGAAGAAUAAGUAAGGGUUAAUAUCUCUUACGAUGACGGUACUGUUUGUAAGCUCCGGCUAACUCCGUGCCAGCAGCCGCGGUAAUACGGGGGGAGCAAGCGUUGUUCGGAUUUACUGGGCGUAAAGGGCGCGUAGGCGGCCACCGCAAGUCGACUGUGAAAUCUCCGGGCUUAACCCGGAAAGGUCAGCCGAUACUGCGGGGCUAGAGUGCAGAAGGGGCAACUGGAAUUCUCGGUGUAGCGGUGAAAUGCGUAGAUAUCGAGAGGAACACCUGCGGCGAAGGCGGGUUGCUGGGCUGACACUGACGCUGAGGCGCGAAAGCUAGGGGAGCGAACGGGAUUAGAUACCCCGGUAGUCCUAGCCUUAAACGAUGAAUGCUUGGUGUC
Molecule: ribosomal RNA, 786 nt
Filed under: uncultured Actinomycetes bacterium
Lineage: Bacteria; Bacillati; Actinomycetota; Actinomycetes
Description: bacterial SSU rRNA
Rfam family: Bacterial small subunit ribosomal RNA
Source: RNAcentral